UAGGCAGGAGCUAAUAGGUGCUGGCGUCUAGCUGUUAACUAGAAUAAUGUGGGAUCGAAGCCCAUCUGCCUAG
Molecule: transfer RNA, 73 nt
Filed under: Alectoris chukar (chukar partridge)
Lineage: Eukaryota; Metazoa; Chordata; Aves; Galliformes; Phasianidae
Also listed under: 1 other name
Description: tRNA-Asn
Source: RNAcentral